This 200-nucleotide long non-coding RNA is filed under the name Trifolium pratense (red clover). RNAcentral describes it as "long non-coding RNA (TPRA_LNC009023)". The record is from RNAcentral. Lineage: Eukaryota; Viridiplantae; Streptophyta; Magnoliopsida; Fabales; Fabaceae.
UCACUAAUCAGCCUUAGACUUUUUUUUAGUUCAUAAUGAAAUGAACCCCCGGAUGAAAAGACAUUAUCCCCUCCCUAUUACUAAACCAUGGGGAGCCCCGACUAGUUUACCGGGCUAAUUUUGUUGUCGUGACGAUACCUUUCUUAGUGGAAGAUCGGAAAAGACUUCUCUUCAUCACGAGACUGAUCGGAUCCGCCGUA